AACGAACGCUGGCGGCAUGCCUAACACAUGCAAGUCGAACGAGACCUUCGGGUCUAGUGGCGCACGGGUGCGUAACGCGUGGGAACCUGCCUUUAGGUUCGGAAUAACUCAGAGAAAUUUGAGCUAAUACCGGAUGAUGUCUUCGGACCAAAGAUUUAUCGCCUUUAGAUGGGCCCGCGUUGGAUUAGCUGGUUGGUGGGGUAAAGGCCUACCAAGGCGACGAUCCAUAGCUGGUCUGAGAGGAUGAUCAGCCACACUGGGACUGAGACACGGCCCAGACUCCUACGGGAGGCAGCAGUGGGGAAUAUUGGACAAUGGGGGAAGGCCUGAUACAGCAAUGCCGCGUGAGUGAUGAAGGGCUUAGGGUUGUAAAGCUCUUUUACCCGAGAUGAUAAUGACAGUAUCGGGAGAAUAAGCUCCGGCUAACUCCGUG
This 433-nucleotide ribosomal RNA is filed under the name uncultured bacterium. RNAcentral describes it as "partial 16S ribosomal RNA". It matches the Rfam family "Bacterial small subunit ribosomal RNA", at positions 29 to 507 of the family's 1533-position model. The record is from RNAcentral.